Molecule: ribosomal RNA, 253 nt
Filed under: uncultured bacterium
Lineage: Bacteria
Description: partial 16S ribosomal RNA
Rfam family: Bacterial small subunit ribosomal RNA
Source: RNAcentral
UACGAAGGUCCCGAGCGUUAUCCGGAUUUAUUGGGUUUAAAGGGUGCGUAGGCGGGUUAUUAAGUCAGUGGUGAAAGCCUUCAGCUUAACUGAAGAACUGCCAUUGAUACUGAUGAUCUUGAGUAUGAUUGAGGUGGGCGGAAUGUGUCAUGUAGCGGUGAAAUGCUUAGAUAUGACACAGAACACCGAUUGCGAAGGCAGCUCACAAAAUUGUAACUGACGCUGAGGCACGACAGCGUGGGGAUCAAACAGG